RNAcentral lists this ribosomal RNA (641 nucleotides) under Mycobacterium sp. I15A-00292. Its description in RNAcentral is "bacterial SSU rRNA". It matches the Rfam family "Bacterial small subunit ribosomal RNA", at positions 96 to 751 of the family's 1533-position model. The record is from RNAcentral. Lineage: Bacteria; Bacillati; Actinomycetota; Actinomycetes; Mycobacteriales; Mycobacteriaceae.
UGGCGAACGGGUGAGUAACACGUGGGUGAUCUGCCCUGCACUUCGGGAUAAGCCUGGGAAACUGGGUCUAAUACCGGAUAUGACUACGAAUCGCAUGGUUUGUGGUGGAAAGCUUUUGCGGUGUGGGAUGGGCCCGCGGCCUAUCAGCUUGUUGGUGGGGUGAUGGCCUACCAAGGCGACGACGGGUAGCCGGCCUGAGAGGGUGACCGGCCACACUGGGACUGAGAUACGGCCCAGACUCCUACGGGAGGCAGCAGUGGGGAAUAUUGCACAAUGGGCGCAAGCCUGAUGCAGCGACGCCGCGUGAGGGAUGACGGCCUUCGGGUUGUAAACCUCUUUCAGUAGGGACGAAGCGUGAGUGACGGUACCUAUAGAAGAAGGACCGGCCAACUACGUGCCAGCAGCCGCGGUAAUACGUAGGGUCCGAGCGUUGUCCGGAAUUACUGGGCGUAAAGAGCUCGUAGGUGGUUUGUCGCGUUGUUCGUGAAAACUCACAGCUCAACUGUGGGCGUGCGGGCGAUACGGGCAGACUAGAGUACUGCAGGGGAGACUGGAAUUCCUGGUGUAGCGGUGGAAUGCGCAGAUAUCAGGAGGAACACCGGUGGCGAAGGCGGGUCUCUGGGCAGUAACUGACGCUGAGG